Molecule: long non-coding RNA, 1941 nt
Organism: Piliocolobus tephrosceles (Ugandan red Colobus)
Lineage: Eukaryota; Metazoa; Chordata; Mammalia; Primates; Cercopithecidae
Source: Ensembl
AAAAGACAUAACACAUUAUAAAUAAGUUUUUGUUUGUUUGUUUGUUUGUUUGUUUUAUAAAAGUGUAAAAUUGUAAAAGCUCGAAAAUGUAGCUGGUGCAAAAUAUAUGUAGAAAGCACAAAAUGCGUUUUCUUUUUUUUUUUUUAUAGAUUUUUACUCCCAUUGGUAUGCUAUGUAUCCAUGUUCACAAUAUUAAAAAAAAAAUAUAUAUAUAUAUAAGCAUAUACAUUAGCAUAUACAUAAGCAUAUACAUUAGCAUAUACAUAAGCAUAUACAUUAGCAUAUAUAUAUAUAUAUAUAUAUAUAUAUAUACAUAUACAUAAAUAUAUAUAUAAGCGCACGCACGCACAUGCGAACAAACGCAACGCUGCCACUUCAUUUAAAACUUGAAAAGUUGUCAAAAAAAAGAAAAAAAAAAUUUUAAAUAUUUAACUCGUUUUUCAUUUGCAUUAUUUCCUUUACUGGUAUGGGUUCGUAAGGGAAAUGGUCUAAUUUGGGUAUUGAUAAAUUUUGUAAUGAAUUAAUUAAGUAAUCUAUUGAGUUGUUUGACAAAUUUAAGCUUGUAUUUUCUUCAGGUAAUAAAGUUAAAAAAUUAUUUAUUAUAUUCGGUAUAGUAAUAUAUUCUCUUUUUAGAAAGUCUUCUUUAUCACCAACAUUUUUUUCAUUAUUAAAAGUUUUAACAUGUUUUUCAUUUAUGUUACUACGUUUUUGGUCAUUUAUUAACUCUGUUUUUUGUUCCUUUACAUGUUUUAAAUUUUCAAAGGGUUUAUAAGUACACAUCAUUUUUAAAUCGGGUCUCGUAAUAUAACUACUAUUCAAUGGAUUAGAAAUGGAUCCAUUUUUUCUAUUUUUUUUUCCAUCACCAUCUACCAUUUCAACAUUAUUAUUAACACUAUGUAUGUUGUGAACAUGCCUCAUGCUAUUUGCAUUUUUUUUUUUUUUUUUUUUUUUUUUUUUUUUUUUUUUUUUUUUUUUAUUUUUUUUUUAAUUUUCUUUUGUGUGUUUUUUAUUAUGUCAUUUUCUUCAAACAUUUCUUCUGAUGACUUAUUAUCAUCAUCAUCAACAUCAUCCUCCUCUUCCAAAUAAUUACUAUAUACUUCUUUUUUUCCAAUUUUAUUAUUAUUGCAAAUGUACAUAUUUUUAACACCUAUUGUUUUGUUUACUUCUUUCGUGUUACUUACAUAUUCUAUGUCCUCAUCUACUUUCCUACUAUAACCUAUCUUUCCUUCUUUUUUCCUCUGUUUUGAAAUUGCUUUCCCCUUUUUCAUUACUCCAUAAGAACCAUAACAAUCAGAAAACCAAGGGUUCAAUAUAUUGCUUAUACUAUCACAACUAUUAAACUCAAAAAAAGAAAAUGUUUUUUUAAAAGAGGAACCACCAAACAAUUGAGAGUUAACCAAAUUUAUUUUAAAAUUCAAAUUAUCUACGUCAUUUUUUUUUAAUUUUUCUAAAUAACCUUUACAUAAUAUAUCUACGAUGCUAUUAUCUUGUAUUAAUACAUUAGUAUGCUCAUUUGUGUUUGAUACAUUUCUAAAAUCUAACAAUAUAUUCUUAUUUUCUUCCAAAUUGUAACCUGCCUCACAUUUUAAUUUCAUUUCAUAUACUUUAUUUAAGUUGUUUAUAUCUCCAUAUAAAAUUUCUAGUUGUGUUAAUAGUUUCCAUAUUUUUUCACAUGAUUUAUUUUUUUUUUUUAAUAAUUUUAAAUAUUCUGGUUCAAAUUGGUUAAAUUCGGUGACCACACUUGUGGUAGUAGUUGUCGGUUCUGUUGUGACAGGUACAGUAGCUGCACUACCACUACCAACUGCACUGACAACAUUAGUAUUACUACCAUCACUACCACUACCAUAGUUACGACGGUUAUUUGUAGCAAUAAUCUUCGAUAUUUUCUUUACACCUUUCUUGUUUCCUAAUAAAACAUCUCUUCUAUUACUACUAUUUACA